Molecule: long non-coding RNA, 33879 nt
Filed under: Ananas comosus (pineapple)
Lineage: Eukaryota; Viridiplantae; Streptophyta; Magnoliopsida; Poales; Bromeliaceae
Description: long non-coding RNA (ACOM_LNC011467)
Source: RNAcentral
AGAGAGAGAGAGAGAGAGAGAACAAUGAAUGAAACAUCACUAGAGAGAGAGAGAGAGAGAGAGCGAACAAUGAAUGAAACAUCACUGUCCAUGUCACUAUGAAAUGUUGGUUACUUGAUCUUGCUAUUGUAGAGUAAGAGAGAGUGAGAGAAACCACUUUUUAAGUCAAUUAAAUAUAUGGGUACAAAAUGUGUGGUAUAAUAAAUGUGGUCACCAACAUUGUUUUGUCGCGUUUCUUCUACGCUUUUGUGUUCAUAAAUAGGAUGAAGGAUGUAAUUAAUAAAUUCUAGGUUUUAUAUGCAAAUUUUAAUGCAAUAUUUCUACUUGAAAACUAGUAAAAUGUGAUGAAUUUUCUAAGUUAUCAUCCUAGGUUUUAUAUGCUUCCGACAUGUACGUUGAAGUAAUUUAAUAAUAUUUUUUUAAUCUAGAUGAGUAUAAUUUGUCGAUUGUCUCAACAUUAGCCGCACAAUAUGUCGUUGUAAAAUAGUUUAAAACUAUUAAAUUAUUAAAUUUGGUAAAAUUUUUUAGUGUAGCCUAUAGUCGAGGAGGUCCCCCUACAUUUUUUCUAAUCUACAACUUUGCACAGUGAUAAACAGGACAUAUUAUUAUUAUAUUAAUUAUGACACGACAAAGCUGUCCUAUUGAAGAUGAUACAAAUUUGACCAUUUAUGCAUACUAUAUAUAUAUAUAUUACUGUGUAGGAUAAAUUACAUUUUUUACUCUCAAAUUAUGAGACGCGUGGUAUUUUUUAUUUUUAAAUUUUAAUUUUCGAAAUUAUUAGAAUUAAGUCUCUCACAACACAGUUUAGCCAGACUUUGACUAUGAAAAUUUUAAAAAUUUAAAUUUAAAAAUUAUAAUAAAUAAAAAUUUGACAACUAAAGCGUGACGUGCCUUAUAGUUUGAGAGAAAGGAAAGUGUUUGUGGUGCAUGUACCUAAUCCUGUACCUUUGUUGGUGCUUAAGAGCCAUCAUGGAUUCAAUGCCAAUAGUAUUGGUCAAUGAAUGGCACUUAUUGGCAGGUGCACCAAUAGUAAUCUCCUUGUCCUUUUUAGGCGAUUCUACAUUUCUACUAUGUAAUAACUCAUGUGGUCCUCUAUACAAAUUGCUCAUUAGUUCUUUCAAAUUUGUUUUAUUUUUCAUUUCUUAUUUACCUUUUCCUGUCUCUUUUCUUUUAAAGAGUUACCUUUUUUCACAUACAAUUUUGAUUGAAUUAUUAUUUGUAUUUACCUUUUCCUUUCUCUUUUCUUUUAAAGAGUUCCCUUUUUGACAUACAAUUUUGAUUGAAUUAUUUGUAUGUAGAUUACUCUAAAGGUGUGUUUGGUUCGCACUAUGAAAGAUUACUUAGAGUAAAAUGAUAUACAAGAAUCUUACUUCUAUUCAUUCUAUUACUAGAAAUAUAGUAUUUCAGUGUUUGAUUCAUACGGUCAUAUUAUUUAGUCAAUAUUAUUUAAGAUUACGAAAAAUAUAUAAUUAAUUAAUUAAUUUUUUUAAUUAAUUUUAAAUAAUACUAUAAAAAAAUUUCAACAUCUUUUUAGAAAAAAGAGAGAGAGAAUAUAGAUUAGAAAGAGAGAGAGCAUAAUUAAAGAAAUAGAAAGAGAAAUAGAGUCGAGAUUAGAGAGAAUGAGAGGGUUGAGAUUUUAGAAAAAGAGGGGAGAAAUAGCUUAGUUUAGAAAGAGAAAAAGAGUUGAAGUUUAGAGAGAAAAAGAUAAGUUUAGAGAGAGAUAUGAGGUUUAGAAUGUAUAGAAAAAUAAUACAAACUAGCCGGCGGGUAGGAAGAAAGAAAGAGAUUAGACAUAUUAUAAUUAUCCCAAUUCAUUAAUAUAAGGAUACCCACUCUCACUCAGAGGAAUGAGAUUAGUACUUUGGGAUGCAUCUCAUUCCCAAGUAAAUUAAAUAUUACCAACUAGAUUACUUAGUUUAUUUAGCCAAACAUCGUCAUAAUUUUUUAUUUUUAUUAGAUUAUUAGAAAUCUUAAAAAAAUAGCGCAAACCAAAUGCACCCCAAGGUUCAUCCAUAUAUCUAAGUAUAUUUUAAUUGUGACGUGCUGAAAGAAAGUUAUUAAGAAUAAUCAUUAAAGAGGGGGACUAUCUUUUGGAAUAACUAAUUGGAAUCGCUAUCUAAGUGGAGUGAUUACAAAAGUACAUGCGGUAUGCUUUUGCAGAUGUAUAAGUUUGCACUUUACAGGUCGUUGGUGUCAUUAAAUUUUCAAUCUUCAGACGAAAAGAUGUGCGGCUAAGAUAAUAGAGGUUCCUCGGGGUUGAGUGGAUGGUUGGUUUAUAUAGUAUUUUUGUUCAUUUUGAUCGUUGGAUAAUCUAGUCCUUUUUUCGGGUUUAUCUAGAUGGCGAGAAACUGUUUUUCUUUUUCUAGAUCUUUUGUUCGACUUAUUGAUUGCAUUGUUCAAGUUGUACUUUUUUUGCUCAUUUGUAUAUAGCCAAUUAUGCUUCUGAUCCUAUCAAUGGUAUAAUAGCUCUUUGUACUCUCUGUGUUUUAUAUCUGUAUGUAUGUAUGUAUGUGUGUUUAUGUAUGAUAGUGGUCGCGGGUUAGUUUUCUAGCGGUCCCCUUUGGUUGAUUUUGUGUCGUUGGUUUAUACUAUUAAACCAAUAACUCAUUCAACCCUAGGGUGGCCACAUGAUCUUAACCGGUAGAUUUUUUCAUCCAAUGGUCGAAAACUUAAUAGUACCAAUGGUUUGGUGCUAUUGAUUGUAUUGUAGCCGGACUAUAUAUAUUUAUAUAUAUAUAUAUACUGGUAUACUACCGGUAGCACGGAGACCUCCGUGCUACCAAGUUGUUUUCAAUGAUGCGGCUUACAAAUCGACGAUCGGCUCCGUUAGACUUGAUCUACACUAUUGAAAGCAUUUAGAAACUAAAUUUCAUAAUUUUUCGGCAUCAUUUACGUAUCAAACGAGUAGUCUAAAAAUGAACGGCUGAAAAUAAAAAUCUUAUAAAAAAUGAUGAUAAAAGACUUGAAUUUAAAAUCAGAGGUGCUGAUCUUACUCUAAAUAAUGAAAAGAAUUUUCUAUAAAAAUUUCAUCAUAUUUGACUUGUUUUACACCGUUAAAUUCACAAAUGUAUCACAUCUACCAUUAAAAUUGUCAAUUUUGAGACCUUUUGAUCACUAGCCAAAUAAUGUCGAAAAAUUAUGAAAUUUAGUUUCCAAACACUAUUAAUAGUGUAGAUCAAGUCUAACGGAGCCGAUCGUCGAUUUGGAAGCCGCAUCAUUGAAAACAACUUGGUAGCACGGUGGCCUCUGUGCUACCGAUAGUAUACCAGCCUAACUCUACAUAUAAAUAUAUAUAGUUCGGCUGGAAUACAAUCAAUAGCACCAAACUAUUGGUGCUAUUAGGUUUUUGGCCUUUGGAUGAAAAAAUGUACGGUUAAGAUGAUGUGGGCCCCCUAGGGUUGAAUGAGUUAUUGGUUUAAUAGUAUAAUCUAACGAGUGAAAAUAGUCAAAGGGUUUCGUUAGAAAACUCUCUCUCUCUCUCUUUUAUAUAUAUAUAUAUAUAUAUAUAUAUAUAUAUAUAUAAAAGAGAGAGAGAGAGAGAGUUAUUAUCCCAUGUGGAUCAGAAUUAUUAUUGGGUUUAUACCAAUGAGCAAAAAAAGUACAACUUGAACAAUGAAUUAAUAAGUCGAACAAAAGCUCUAGAAAAAGAAAAAGGGUUUCUUGCUCUAGAUAUGCUCGAAAAAAGGACUAGAUUAUGCAAUGAUGAAAAUGAACAAAAAUACUAUAUAUAUAUAUAUAGAGAGAGAGAGAGUUGAGCUGGAAUACUAUCGGUAGCAAACUGGCUCCGUUGCCACCCAUUUGUUUUCGAUAAUAGAGCCUUCAAAUCGACGAUCGGCACCGUUGAAAAUGAUCUAUACCACUUUAAAUAUUUAGAAAUCAAAUUUCAUACUUUUUCGAUAUUGUUUUCUUGUCCAUCAAGUGGGCGUAAAAAUGAAUGGCUGAAAAUGAAUAUUCUCUAAAAAGUGAUGAUAAAAAUUUUAUAAUCAUGAUCGAGAGUAUAGAUCUUGUUCUAAGUAGUUUAAAGAAUUUUCCAACCAAAAUUCAAUUGAUUUGGAUAGCUUUACACCGUUAAACGAGAAAACCCCUCAUAUCAACCAUUAAAAUUACUAAUUUUGAAACCCUUUGAUCAUUAGGUAAAUGAUGUCGAAAAGAUUUGAAAUUUGAUUUCUAGAUACGUCAAGUGAUAUAGAUCAUGUUCAACGGUGUUGAUCGUCGAUUUGAAAGCUCCAUCAUCGAAAACAAAUGGGUGGCAACGGAGCCCGUUUGCUACCGAUAGCAUUCCAGCUCAACUAUAUAUAUAUAUAUAUAUAUAUAUAUAUAUAUAUAUCAAUAGUACAAAGCCCUUGGUACUAUUGAGUUUUUAGCCGUUGGAUGAAAGGAUGUGCGGUUAGGAUGAUAGUGGUCCCCGGUUAAAUUGAUAGCGGUCCCCUAGGGUCAAGGGCCAAAAAUUUAAUACCACCAAUAACUUGGUAUUGUUGAGAGAGAGAGAGAGAGAGAGAGAGUCCGGCUGGGAUACUAUCGAUAGCACCAAGUAUUUGGUGCUAUCGAGUUUCCGCCGUAAGAUUUAACCCUUUAAUUAUUUUUACCCGUUAGAUUAUACUAUAUAUUUAACUAACUACUCACUCAACCCUAGAGGGCCCACAUCAUCCUAACCACACAUUUCUCAAUCUAAGGGCUAAAAAAUUAAUAGCACAAAUAGCUCGGUGCUAUUUUUAGUAUUCCAGCUUAGUNUUCAUACGGUCAUAUUAUUUAGUCAAUAUUAUUUAAGAUUACGAAAAAUAUAUAAUUAAUUAAUUAAUUUUUUUAAUUAAUUUUAAAUAAUACUAUAAAAAAAUUUCAACAUUUUUUUAGAAAAAAGAGAAAGAGAAUAUAGAUUAGAAAAAGAGAGCAUAAUUAAAGAAAUAGAAAGAGAAAUAGAGUCGAGAUUAGAGAGAAUGAGAGGGUUGAGAUUUUAGAAAAAGAGGGGAGAAAUAGCUUAGUUUAGAAAGAGAAAAAGAGUUGAAGUUUAGAGAGAAAAAGAUAAGUUUAGAGAGAGAUAUGAGGUUUAGAAUGUAUAGAAAAAUAAUACAAACUAGCCGGCGGGUAGGAAGAAAGAAAGAGAUUAGACAUAUUAUAAUUAUCCCAAUUCAUUAAUAUAAGGAUACCCACUCUCACUCAGAGGAAUGAGAUUAGUACUUUGGGAUGCAUCUCAUUCCCAAGUAAAUUAAAUAUUACCAACUAGAUUACUUAGUUUAUUUAGCCAAACAUCGUCAUAAUUUUUUAUUUUUAUUAGAUUAUUAGAAAUCUUAAAAAAAUAGCGCAAACCAAAUGCACCCCAAGGUUCAUCCAUAUAUCUAAGUAUAUUUUAAUUGUGACGUGCUGAAAGAAAGUUAUUAAGAAUAAUCAUUAAAGAGGGGGACUAUCUUUUGGAAUAACUAAUUGGAAUCGCUAUCUAAGUGGAGUGAUUACAAAAGUACAUGCGGUAUGCUUUUGCAGAUGUAUAAGUUUGCACUUUACAGGUCGUUGGUGUCAUUAAAUUUUCAAUCUUCAGACGAAAAGAUGUGCGGCUAAGAUAAUAGAGGUUCCUCGGGGUUGAGUGGAUGGUUGGUUGAAUAGUACAAUCUGAAAGUUGGAAAUAGUCAAAAGGGUUAAUCUAAUGGCGAAAAACUGAAUAGCACAACAUCGUUGGUGCUAUUGAUAGCAUUGUAGUCGAACUAUAUAUAUAUAUAUAUAUAGAAUUAUGCUACUAUACUAUCAAUAGUACAAAGCCCUUGGUACUAUUGAGUUUUUAGCCGUUGGAUGAAAGGAUGUGCGGUUAGGAUGAUAGUGGUCCCCGGUUAAAUUGAUAGCGGUCCCCUAGGGUUGAGUGGGUGGUUGGUUUAAUAGUAUAAUCUAACGGGUGGAAAUGAUCAACAGGUAGAUCUAAUGGUAGAAAACUCAAUAGUACCAAGGACUUGGUACUAUCGAUAGUAUAGUAGCCGGACUAUAUAUAUAUAUAUAUACUGGUAUACUACCGGUAGCACGGAGACCUCCGUGCUACCAAGUUGUUUUCAAUGAUGCGGCUUACAAAUCGACGAUCGGCUCCGUUAGACUUGAUCUACACUAUUGAAAGCAUUUAGAAACUAAAUUUCAUAAUUUUUCGGCAUCAUUUACGUAUCAAACGAGUAGUCUAAAAAUGAACGGCUGAAAAUAAAAAUCUUAUAAAAAAUGAUGAUAAAAGACUUGAAUUUAAAAUCAGAGGUGCUGAUCUUACUCUAAAUAAUGAAAAGAAUUUUCUAUAAAAAUUUCAUCAUAUUUGACUUGUUUUACACCGUUAAAUUCACAAAUGUAUCACAUCUACCAUUAAAAUUGUCAAUUUUGAGACCUUUUGAUCACUAGCCAAAUAAUGUCGAAAAAUUAUGAAAUUUAGUUUCCAAACACUAUUAAUAGUGUAGAUCAAGUCUAACGGAGCCGAUCGUCGAUUUGGAAGCCGCAUCAUUGAAAACAACUUGGUAGCACGGNNNNNNNNNNNNNNNNNNNNNNNNNNNNNNNNNNNNNNNNNNNNNNNNNNNNNNNNNNNNNNNNNNNNNNNNNNNNNNNNNNNNNNNNNNNNNNNNNNNNNNNNNNNNNNNNNNNNNNNNNNNNNNNNNNNNNNNNNNNNNNNNNNNNNNNNNNNNNNNNNNNNNNNNNNNNNNNNNNNNNNNNNNNNNNNNNNNNNNNNNNNNNNNNNNNNNNNNNNNNNNNNNNNNNNNNNNNNNNNNNNNNNNNNNNNNNNNNNNNNNNNNNNNNNNNNNNNNNNNNNNNNNNNNNNNNNNNNNNNNNNNNNNNNNNNNNNNNNNNNNNNNNNNNNNNNNNNNNNNNNNNNNNNNNNNNNNNNNNNNNNNNNNNNNNNNNNNNNNNNNNNNNNNNNNNNNNNNNNNNNNNNNNNNNNNNNNNNNNNNNNNNNNNNNNNNNNNNNNNNNNNNNNNNNNNNNNNNNNNNNNNNNNNNNNNNNNNNNNNNNNNNNNNNNNNNNNNNNNNNNNNNNNNNNNNNNNNNNNNNNNNNNNNNNNNNNNNNNNNNNNNNNNNNNNNNNNNNNNNNNNNNNNNNNNNNNNNNNNNNNNNNNNNNNNNNNNNNNNNNNNNNNNNNNNNNNNNNNNNNNNNNNNNNNNNNNNNNNNNNNNNNNNNNNNNNNNNNNNNNNNNNNNNNNNNNNNNNNNNNNNNNNNNNNNNNNNNNNNNNNNNNNNNNNNNNNNNNNNNNNNNNNNNNNNNNNNNNNNNNNNNNNNNNNNNNNNNNNNNNNNNNNNNNNNNNNNNNNNNNNNNNNNNNNNNNNNNNNNNNNNNNNNNNNNNNNNNNNNNNNNNNNNNNNNNNNNNNNNNNNNNNNNNNNNNNNNNNNNNNNNNNNNNNNNNNNNNNNNNNNNNNNNNNNNNNNNNNNNNNNNNNNNNNNNNNNNNNNNNNNNNNNNNNNNNNNNNNNNNNNNNNNNNNNNNNNNNNNNNNNNNNNNNNNNNNNNNNNNNNNNNNNNNNNNNNNNNNNNNNNNNNNNNNNNNNNNNNNNNNNNNNNNNNNNNNNNNNNNNNNNNNNNNNNNNNNNNNNNNNNNNNNNNNNNNNNNNNNNNNNNNNNNNNNNNNNNNNNNNNNNNNNNNNNNNAUAUAUAUAUAUAAUUUUUUGCCGUUAGAUUAACCCUUUGAUUAUUUUUACUCGUUAGAUUAUACGAUUCAACCAACUACCCACUCAACCCUAGGGGGUCACAUUAUCCUAACCGCACAUCUUUUAAUCCAAAAGCGGAAAACUUAAUAGCACCAAGUCAUUGGUGCUAUUAAUAGUAUUCCAGCUUAGUUCUCUCUCUCUCUCUCUCUCUCUCUCUCUAUCUAUAUAUAUAUAUAGAGAGAGAGAAAGAGAGAGAAGGGUUACUGUGCAAUUAGGAGGCUAUUAUAAUAUCUAUAGUACCGAUGUUUCAGUACUAUAAUCUCGUUUUUGAUCUUAUUCAACGAUUUACACCAUUAAAUAUGAUUUAGGGUAUAUGGAGUUUUUAGGAAUAAAAUUUUAAUUUUUUUUUCUAUAUCAUUUACUUAGUGAUUAAAUCAUGUCAAAAUAAAUGGUAGAAAUUAAACAAUCUUUAAAAUUUAAGAAUAUGACUUUUGAAUUCACGAUUAAGAAUGGAACUUGAUCUAGAUAGUUAAAAAUAUUUUCUAUUAAAAUUUAAAUAAAUUUAUAUUCUUUUAUACUGUUAAACUAUAAACUCGUCAUAUUGGCAACUAAAAAAUGAUAAUUUUGAAAUUGCUUGAUCAUAAAAUAAAUUAUGUCGAAAAAAUAUAAAAUUUUAUUUCUAAAAAUUUUAAAUACCCUAGAUCAUUUUUAACUGUGUGCAUCGUUGGUUUGAAUAUUCUAAGAUUGAAAACGAGAUUAUAAUACCGGAACUCCUUACUAUGGAUAUUACAUAAGCCUAGAGCUCUCUUUAUAUAUAUAGAGUCUGAAUAGGGUUCUUCUAAUAGCACCAAGCACUUGGUGCUACCCAGUUUUCCGCUGUUAGAUCUACCCUUUUGACCAUUUCCACAUGUUAGAUCAUACUGUUCAACCAACUACUCACUCAAUCUUAGAGAAUCACUAUCAUCCUAAAGACUACGCUCAUCAUGUUUUUUCUUUUGUAUACAAUUCACAGGAACCGCACAUCCUUUCAUCUAAGAGCCGAAAACCUAAUAACACCAAUAAUUUGAAGCUAUUGAAAGCAUUCCAGUCUAAUUUUAUAGAGUCUGGCUAAUGUGCUUCUAAUGACACCAGGCACUUAGGGUGUGUUUGGUUGGCUUCUUUUUCAUCCCGGAAUCGGAAUUGGAAUGGGUAAAUACGUUUGUGGGUGUUUGGUACGCGGGAGUCUCAUUCUGAUUCCGAUUCCCGAGUGGAAUGGGAAUCCCCCAAUCACCUCUUUUUUCAAGCCGGCCUAGGAGGCCAGAUUGGAAGUUGAAUCCCGAUGGAAUGGAUAUUUAUACGGAUUAAAUUUAUUUUUUCAAUUUUUUUAAUUAAAAUAUGAGUUAAAAUUUAAAAAUUAAAUAUAUAAUUUUAAAUUUUAAUUUGAACUUAAAUUAAAAAUUAAAAUUUAAUCAAGUAUUUCGAAUCUAACUUAUGAAUGUGAAUUUAAAUUAAAUUUUAAUUUAUAUAAAGUUUUAUUCAAAUUUUAUUUCAAACUUAAAUUAAAUAUAUGGAUUCAAAUUAAAAUUUAAAUUGUAAUUUUAAGUUUGAAUUUGAAUAAAUCAAAAUUUUAGUUUCAUAUUUUGAAUUAUCCACUUAACUUCAAAGUUUAUUUUUUUAAAAAAAAAUAGAUUUAAAAUUUUGACAUUAUUUCAAAAUUUUGAUGUAAAUUUUUAAUAUUUAAUAUUUAAUUUGAAUUUAAAUUAAUAUAUUAUAAAGAUAAUGUUAGUAUAUUAAUUUGAUUACGUUUUUCAUAUCCACCUGAACCAAACACCGAUAAUGGGAAUGAUUUAUUCCGAUUCCGAUUCGAGUGAUAAACCAAACAGAAUUUGGUAAUGAGUCAUUCCGAUUCCGAUUCCAGCUUAUUUUGAUUCCGAUUUCGAUUUCGAUUCCGACUACGAACCAAACAUGCCCUUAAUGUUACCAAGUUUUCGGCCAUUAGAUUUAUCAUUUUAACCAUUUUCAUCAGUUAAAUUAUACUCUUCAACCAACUACUCACUCAAUUCUAGAAGACCACUAUCAUUCUAACAGCACAUUCCUUCAUCCAAGGGCCAAAAAUUUAAUACCACCAAUAACUUGGUAUUGUUAGAAAUAUUUCAAUCUAAUUAUUGUUAUUAUUAUUAUUAGAAUCCGGCUGGGAUACUAUCGAUAGCACUAAGGAUUUGGUGCUAUUGAGUUUUCUACCGUUAAAUUUAACCCUAUGAUUAUUUUUAUCCGUUAGAUUAUACUAUUCAACUAACCACUCACUCAACCCUAGGGGAUUCACAUCAUCUUAACGGCACAUUUCUCAAUCUAAGAACUAAAAAACUAUUAGCACUAAUAGCUUGAUGCUAUUGAUAGUAUUUCAGUCUAUUUUUUAUUAUUAUAUGACAAUUGAGGAUGUAAUUAAUAAGGCAAGAACCAAGAAGGGGAGUUUCAUGCGCGUCGACUCCUCUCGAGAAAAAAGUCCAAGUGGAAUACUCACCAGUAAAGUAAAAAGGAGGAGAGCAUUUUUUAUGUGGGGGGUAAUGUUGUGGGUUCUAUUGGUGUUGGGAUCCACAUCAUCAAUACCUUGUCCAAUGAAUAAAUAUAAGAAUAAUAAAUAUGACAAUAGCUUAGUGGGUUCUUCACUUGCCUUAAAAGGUUAUAUUCCACGUGGAAAUAAUAAUUUUCUAUCAAAAACUUAAAUCUUAUUUAUAUUAUUUUUUAAAUAAUUUUUUUAAUCACCUCGAUAGAAUUUACCUUUUUUUUUUGGACAGGCGAUAAAUUGUUCUCUCCUCGUGAUCAGAUGAACAUACUUUUCAGACUCCACCUAACAAACUAUGGGAAGUCCAAAAAAUCUGUACGAGGGAUUGAUUGGAUGCAUCUCAUACUAAUAAAAUUUUGUGUCGGAUCGUUGACGCUAAUCAUUAAUUUUAAAAAUUCGAGCUACAGAAAAGAUACAAUUAAUUCACUUAAAUCGUACAGACAUAGCGCCCGUGAAUUUUGAUUGUAAUUCGUCUCAACCAGUCUCUUGCAGUUUCGAACAUGACUCAACCCAAUCAGACAUAGAGCAGAAUGCUGGCUCCUUUAAGCCAAUAUUUUUAAUCCAAAUUAUUGUACUAUUUUUUAAAUAAUUUUUAAAUUAUAAAGUAUUAGUUAUUUUGAUAGUGGGAAUGAAACCACUAUGUCAGAUGCUUUGUUUCGUACUAGGCCUACCUUCUAGCAUAGUUUCUCUAAUAUGCAUCGAUAAAAAUAUCUAGAGCUUUUGAUGUGAUAAAGUUAAAAUCAGAUCUUAAGCCCCAAAUUGCGGCAAAAGUUUUAAUCCGAAUCUUUUAUCUAGGUAGUCUAGAGCCAAUCUAGAAAGAUCUUAAUGUGAACAUAUAUAUAUAUAUAUAUUUCAAAUAGUUCUACUCAAAUAAUCCUUUAGGUAAAGUUCCAAAUGACGCCUCCGAUUAUUUCAUGAAACAUGACAGCAAGUAGCUAGUCUCUUGAUUCUGUAUAGGUAGUACUCAGUAGAUCAAAUUCAAAUUAUCGACUAAAUCGAUACUUAUAACCUGAUAUACAACAAGAUAAAAUUGUUAUUUCGCAGUUUCACAACAAUGAAAUUCACAAACACAAUUUAUGCUCAUAUUGAUUGGCAACGUGCUGCAGCCACCUAUCUUGUUCUUUUCCUUUAAGGAAGAGACUCUGCUCAGUAAUUCUAAAGAAUCUGCACCUGGAGAAGGCCUUUUCAGAGCACUGUUCACCUAAACUGUUGAUGGAAGGGCCAAUAACACUAGUGGGGAAGCCUUUUUUGUUAGUUUAAACACCUAUUUUAGUUUAUUUUUAGUAGGUUAGAUUCUUCGAUAUCGAAGAACCUAACGGUAACCAAUGAUGGGAUCUGAUCUUAGGUUGUGCAAGCUUUUGCCGACGGUAAUGACGUCGGCCUCCUCAUUCAUACUCGACCAUUAGUUUUUGAGGAUUAAAAACCUGAGUGAUUACAGUAGAUGAUUAAAUCUCGCCUCCUCGAAGGUAAUAAAAGUAGGUCAUCAAAUUGGUGGAUCUGAUUCGAAGGCCACAUCGAACGGUGCGUCACAUUGUUGCUUGUUAUUUUUUAUUUAGAUACAGAGGAUAUUUCAAAAAGAUUUAUUAAUAUUACUUUUUACGUAUACUGUGCGGGUAUCAGCCCCACGACAAGUCAAUAAGAUAAGAUAAGAAAGACAGAAGGGAGAAAUUUUACUCAGUUUAGAAGCAACUCUUGCAAUAGAAAGAAAAUGAAAAAAUGAUCAGCUUGUGACUAUGAAGGUAAAUGGAAAAAAAAAACAAGAGAUAUUUUAAACAUGAAACCCAUUAAUAUGUUCACAAUUUGGAUCUCGCUGAGAGCAGGAAUAGUUUGUAAGUGAUUAAGAAAAAAAAAAAAGAAAGAAAAAGAUUAAAAAAACAAAAGCCAUGAGCCAGAACAGAUACUCAAAACAGCAGCAAUAUUAUGUACCAUGAAACUCCAUGUUUAGGCCCUGGACUUAGCAAUCUAAAGAAGUUUCACUUGCACUUGAAUACACUAACCAGGUAAAUUAAAAAGGGUGAUAAACCUUUCUUUCAUGUAAAUCUCUGAGCACUUUAAUUAACACUUUGAGUAUAUUGUUGUCACCAUUCAUUCAGAUUAAACUAAUUGAGAACAAAGCAACAUGCUUGCAUCAACAGGCACCUCUUGGAGAUUAACAUAGUACAGCUCAACUGUGGACCCCAAAAGCCCCAAAAAAACAAAAAAAAGAUCUCUUUGUGCUUCAUAUGUGGCUGCCACUAUUAACCUAAACAUUUCAUCUUAUCUUCUUUACUUUACUAUUUAUAAUUUCCCUUUUCCAACAUGCAAAAUGUUUACGUACGAUAUAGCGAUGUUUAACAACAUGCUUCUUAAACAAUGCCAUUAGAAGAAAUAUUAUACAAUUAUCUACCUAACAGCUUUUCCAUACAGCAGCGUUAGAAGCUUCAAACUAAAACACCAGCUUUUCCAUACAGUGCAAGCUAAGAACUUCUUUCAACAAAUACUAUAUUUCCAAAUACAUAACAUGUGCCACAUAUAGUUUUGUUGAAAGAAAGAUGAUUUUCAUAGAUCAUAGACCGACAGCGCGGAGCCAAUUCAAGUUUAUAUUGAUUGUUUUGCCUCUAAAGCAGUUAAUAAUAGCCCUCAAAAGUGAUUCUGUCGCAAUCAAAAUCGUGUCUUAAUAUCGGCCACCUUAUUGAAAGCCAUUUGGGGAUUAAUCUCCUUAGAGUGGUUCCAGAUUCUUCUUGUAGAUUCACUUAUAUCUGACUUUGAAUUAGUGAAAAAGCUAGCUUCAAAGAAUAUGUGCCAACAGUAACAGUCCAGCUAAGUGGAUUUUUUAAGGCUGUAUCAAACAAAGGAGACAAAAUUGGGAAAAUCCAACUUAAUUUCUAAAGUUGUUUUAUUUAGAUGUAUAUAUACUUCUCAAACUACUUGCAACUAAGAAAGUAUAUUAUUAAUCAGCGGUAGCCCUCCAAUGCAGCAGUUUUUACCUGAUAUUCAAUGAAUAAUAUUACAGAAAUUAUUUUUUGUAAAAAAACAAGUAUAGAGAUUAAUUAAUUAUAAUAAAGACUAAUUCAGCUAAUUAAACAAAAACCAAGAAGUACAAACCUAACCAUCCAACAAUCUUUAUCUUACAAGGUGUUAAGUACAUCAACUAGUAAGAGUACUUGCUUAAUAUAUAAUUAAUAGAGAUGAUUACACAGUAAAAUCCUACAAUAUUAUGUAAUUACAUAUGAACAUAUACAUCUAUAUGUAUCCUCCCAAAGUGUCUGUUUCAGAAACUAGUUUUCAAAAGUAUAACAGUUCAUCGAACAUUUUUACAGUUUUGAAUUUUAUUGAGGGCAUAUUUAUUAAGCAAAAUUUUCAAAGAAUUUAUAUCUGCGAUUUUAAAAUUUUACAGGGGUGUACAUGUGUGUGUGAAAGACCUUUAAAUUAGACUAAAAUAGUGUAAGCUAUAAGAUUCUCUAGUUGUGACAGCUGACUUUUGAUUUAGUCUACAUUUGCAUAGUUUAUGAACAAUUGUCGUUUUUAUUAUUUAAAUUGAUUAAGUAUCAAUCCGAGGAAACAGUGAUGUUUCAACUAUAAAAUAAUAAUAAAAACAUUAAAUUAGAGCAAGUUUGUGUUUCUUAAUCACACUUUGAUUAGAACAUUAAGCGCACACAAUAGGCGGCCUAAUAAUUGACAAUAAAAUGAAUGUCACAACAAACAACAAAAUAUAUGCUACUCACCACCUCGAUCACAUCAACAAACUGUAACGCGCGAAUUUGACCUUUAAUAAUCCACAUGAAAUAAAACAAAGUUAAGAGCCCAUAAUGACCAACUCAUUAGCAGAUACAGAUGAAUUCAACCUAGUAUGCCACAAAUUUAUCAGAAACCACCAAUGCAAAGGAAAUAAUUACAAGAAAACAGGUACAGUAGGUGGUGAACAUCAAACAUCUUAGAAACAUUUGUUUUGGUAGCUUGUGAGAAUAUAUCCAAGGUUUAGAGUCCAUAGAGGGAGUAUUGAAGCACAGCUGUAAACUAGUUGUUGAAUCAACUGUUACCCUGUUCUCUUUUGCAGCACGAAUGUUUUUGUAGUACAUGUUGGUUUGUUGAAUUUAUUAACAAAGGAAAUUUAUUAACAAAUGUACCUUAUGUGCUGCUGAUAUGUUACUCAUAUGGAGCCAUAAAUUACAUGUCGAAACUGAUCAAUAAUCCCCUUCUGGUAAUAUAAAGUUUAGCUAGUGUAACAAUUAUGUUCUUCCUAGUUUUCAAAUGUUACAUUAAAGGCCUCAAAUUUUGACUGUCGAUUUGAGCAUAUGCGCCGACACAUCAUUGUGCAAAAACACCUGCUGAAGCUCCCACGCAACUACGCUGUGCAUGUACAGAUCGAUUCGAAAAGGUUUAAUGGCCUUUUCAUUUAAAGUCCCCCCUUCGACGGUGUAACCGAAAAGACGUAAAAUUUUGAGUUUUCGCUUUAUACACUUGAAAGCUCAUUCUGAUUUUUCCAAACUAGCCAGAAUUUAGACAUUUUUAUCUCAUAAAGAAGCUUACUUCAAAGGUCAGCUGACAUAAAAUUUUACUUUUCCUGUCUCCUUAGUCCAAAAUUAGCAACAUUUCCAACAACCACUAAUGCAGUAAAAAGCAAGCUUAUAAGAUUUCAAACCAUAAAGUAAGAACAGAAUGCUAGAACUUCUGAACAGCUAUGGAAGCACAUCUAAUAUUCUAAAAAGGGAGAAUUAGUUAAGAUUGCUAAUCAACAAUAGAUGUUUAUAUAUAUAACACUAAUAAGAUCUAAUGAAGAACAGAUAAAAAUGUCAAUGACAUCGUGCUCAGACAAGAAAGAAUAAAUUCUGCAUGAGAAGAUCGAAAAAGAGUGCAGAAAUAAAAAGAUUCACUACUUUAUAUACAGAAAAGCCAAAUGCAGAAGCAUAACAAUCCGCUUUUCAAUUGAUAACUGCAAUUGACAGAAAAUGGCUUCUCAUAUCUGCAGUUCAACUCUCUUCAUGGCAGGUUGAUCUACAGGACUGGGACGAUGUUUUAAUUCAGAUUUAGAUACAUCUUUAUUGACCUUUUGAGUAUUUGCUGAUAGGUUAACUGAAGUUCUGUUUGCUGGAUGCUUUCCUGAUUUGACACCUGCUUGUCAUUGAUAACACGUAUGUAAAAAAAAAAUCCCAACAAUUAUAGUAUGUUAUACUAUAUUAAAAGAAAAUUAGUGUCAGCCAAAGUGCAAGAUUUACUAAACCAGACUCAUAUGUGACUAUGUUGCAGUACUUAAUGAAUAGGCCUGUUUGGCCUAGUUAGAGCUUCUGUGAAAAUGUUGUUUGAGUAGAGCCUUCUGAAGAAGCAUCGCCAACGUUUCUUUCCAGCGAAAACCCCUCAAUAGCUUCCCCUUACAGAGAAGGCAGCUACGGAGACUUAGUUCCUAAAGCUAUAGACUAUUGUCAGUCGAAUACCUAGUUUUUGAAGUCUUUGCUUUAUAGGGUAAAGAAUCUACUUCAAAAGCCAGGCUAAACGGGAGCUAAAAAAUAUAUAAGGUAAUAAUAAUCCUAAUAAAUAUUAUGUUUAUCUAUGGAUGAAAUGCAGGAGAAUUAAAAGAACCAAGCAUAUAACUGAACCAAACUUACCACUGUUUGGCAAGGAUAAUCUCUUCUUUGCCUGUGAAUCAAUCUGUACCCGCCUCUCUUUUGGAUUACUAUAUGACCGAGCACCGAGUCCAGUAGGCUGAGAAACAGCUUCCUCAGAAGCCUCCUUCGAUGAUGUCUUUAGCUUUAUUUUACUUGUUGCUGAAGCAGAAGCAAGCAGAUUUGCAGACCGGCUAGAGGAGGAAGCACUUCCCUCAGAAUGUGAUGGCCCAGCUUUCUGGUUAAGCAUAUUCGAAUGAAGAGCUGAGAUGGGCUUUUUUGCCAUUGGCUUGUGCAGGGAUUUGGCUCCCUUUUCCUGUUCAUUAUCACUUACCACCACCCCUUCUUUAACAUUAAUGUCGAGAAAACGGUUUUCCCAUGGGCGAACCGCCAUCCAUCUCUCCAACCAAUUCCAGCCCCAGUUGUUCUUAUCUGGCUCAAAUCCUGCAGCAGCCACCUGUUGCCUUGAACCCGCUUGCCACUUUGAUGGGGAGAAAAGGGCAAAUCAUUUGCUCAAUUAGUUAGCAGAACUAAAAGUGGCAACAAUUAGAGCUACUAUUAUGUCAAAAUAUACAUUUAAAUGCAGUUUCUCCUCUAGUUCACAGUGAUCUGCUAUUUAGUAAUAUCUCAGUUAUUGUUAUUACAUUGGAAGAGCUAAAGGAGAAUUAGCAUGUAACAAGUUUCCUAAUAUUUCUAUUUAAAAAACAGAGAAGUCCUACAGUGUUGAAUGUGUUCUAUUAUCCUUCCGUUACUUUUAGAUUGGCAGGGUUUAAAAUUAACCUUAUUAAGAAUAAACUUAGAACUUGAUGUUUUGUUUUUACAGAAAGAUACCUGAUGAGUCAGAGCAUAUGCCAUGGCUCUCUCACGCUUGGCCGCGGCUUCUUGCCUCUUUAGUAAUUUGACCUGGAUUUCCUCCACGGAGCCUAUACUGUCACACCAUCCUCCCUGCAUUUUAAUCGUAGGUGUGAAAAUUACUUAAUAUUCAGUUGAAGAUAUUAUAUAAUGAAAGGGUCAGUCCAACUAUAAAACAAUAAUAAGAUAUUUGCUACAUUCUGACAAGUUAGAUGUUAACAGAAAAUUUUCGUUCCAAAGACUAACCAGGCAAGAACAAUUGCUAAUACAAACAUCACACAUGGCUAUAAAGCAACUAUACUGCUUAGUAAUAAGCCUAUAUCUAGAAAUUGUGCUUUUCAGCAUAAUCUGAAUAACACCAUUUAACUAAAGAAUGCUACAUACGUUGACGAAGAUAAUAGUAUCGACUAUGUAGUUUUGUAGCUCACCUCAAUUUCCCGAACACAAUCCUCAUGAGAUUGGUCCUGUUGUUGAACCUUCUUCCGGCCCAAUUGACUUUCUAAAGCCAUGCGAACUCGCCUUGCUCUAACCCGAGCCUGAACUCUUACAAGAGCUUGCAUGCACCGAAGUGUUAUAGCUGCUUGCUUUCUCACCGCAUGGCCCCUGACAAGAGCCUGAAGUCUAACCAAUCCUUUCAAAGCCCGUAAAGCUCGUCUAGCCUGGAUAGUUUCAAAUUAUCCAGAACAUUAGGAACCAAUUUGGAGAAGGCGUAUAACAUCCCAAGGUGAUAACUGAGAUGCAUGAACUGGCAUUUGUAAUGUCUGGUUUUGUAUUAUGAUAAGAAUUACAUCUAGGAGAAACUCAAUCCCAACAUAAAUGUUGAAUAAGUUCGCAAAUUAUUUCAGAUUAAGAUAGUUGUCCUUCUGAAAAAUAAUAGGUGUAACCUUAGAACAACAUACAGAAGCUAAUUCUGGUCAACAUUUAGGACUUAGUAGUAAGAAGACUUUAUUAGACAAUGUUGAGGCGUUGAGAAGAAAUUCCAAAAUAUUUUGCCAACAACAGCUCAUGAUAUUGUGCUUGGUCCUGCGAUAAAUUCUAUAGGGGUAGGUUUCUGUAUCUGUAGGUUAUCCUGCUAUCCCUGGAUAAUCUACAAUGAUUCUACAGAAUUAUAUCACCUCAUGGCUGGAAAUAUACGGUAAUUAAGGAUAAUGAUAAACUGCGGCCUAAGAGAGAAAAUACUAUACCAGGAAACCUCGAAAUGCAGUCUGAAUAACUGUGGCAGCCCAAUCCUCUUUCACAAUCUGCUCAGUUUGAGAAGACACCUGCACUUGAAGAGAGGAAGUAGGCGAGGAAGCAGGGUUCGCAGUUGACUUGAUACUGGCUUCACCAACCAAUUCCACAGUUUCAACGGUAGAUUCCUCUUCUAUUACAACACUAUCAUAGUUGAUAGAAUGUUUCCUUCGGUGUCUUGGCCGAUCACUAACAACCUUUUUCUGCAAUAUUACCAAAUCAUGAUGCAAGUAGGCAAAAAGAUGAACAGAUGCAAUAAUUGGUAUAAGAAAUACUGUAUUGCUAGUCAAACAGAGGAAUUAGGGAAAACAAAGGGAUAUAAUGGCAAGAUUGGUCUAAGCAUUACUCACAUUCUCAUCAUUCUCUGGAUGUUGCGAGUUCUCUUGUUUUCUUAGACCGACCAAUGAUUUAAGCCACUUGGUAGAAAUACCCAUGAUGGCAUCAAUUUGGGUUCAUAAGAUUAAGACCUGCAGAUAGAAGAAAAAAUAGCAAUUAUUAAUUCAUGAACUUCAGUGAUAGUUUCUUUUACAUUAAACUAUGAACAAGAAUAUUUUGUAACAAUCGCAUAAAAGGACUAAAUGAAAUGAUAUAUAAGGUGUGGCUAUAACUUUGAACUGCCCAUAGAAAUACACAAGAUUAUUUUCAAAACAAGUGAAACAUAGAAAGUAGUAUUAUUCAGUAAUGUUCCGCAGAAUCUCGACAACUUUACAUGAAGACUGCAUCUGUAAGUAGUUAUUCAGUAAAGAAUUUCAGUGGCGCUGCCUAUUAAUGAUUAUAAUAAUAAUGGGAUCUGCCUCUUCAUUUAGAAGAAAUUGCCUCACUAACUACUCAAAAUAGUUCAAGAGGUUGUAAAGUAUAAAAAUGAUCAGGAAAACCCCAAAAUGCCGUGUACUUAUGUGCGCAGUUGGCUCGUAAAGACAGUGAGGUGCUCAUCAAAUGCAUGUUGCUGGAUUUCAUUGGAUUAGUUAACAGUACUCAAGGAGAAAUGAUCAUACAUGUACAUAAACGAAUCCCCACAUUAUGGUUGGGAAGCUUUGCUUUGGCAAAAUCAUCUACAAAUUUCUCCCAAAACAGAAGCAAAGCAAGCCCCAGUUGACUACUUAAUAGCCAACAUACAACAACCUAAACUCAUGACAGGCGUGUUUUUAGAUUAAAAAUGGAAAAUAUUACAUUAAAGCUUCUACUUGACAUUGAGAAACAAACUAUCACCUAAGCUACCAUAUAAGCUUCUUUCCAAAUGUCAGCUCUAGUUAUUAAACUUAAACAGCAUUAUUCAGGAAACAGGGUCAAAUUGAAAAUGUCCUAACAAAUAAGAUGAAUCAAAUCUUUCAUAUUUGUACGCAUUUAUAAAUUUUAUUCAACUACCUUAACUGCUGAAAAACUACGGAGAGUUAAUUAGCAGAACCAAUCACAAACAUUAACAGAAGGAAAAUGCAACCCAAAUAACAGAUACCAUGUACAUAAAUUCUCCUAUCAAAAAGAACCAAUUUUGAGCCCUACACAUUACCCACCAAAUCACACCUCACUUUCAUUCAAUUUACCUCAUUAACCCAUGCCGCUUAAUACAAAGAUCUCACUACUCAAAGCAAUUAACUAAAUUUAGCCAUUCUUAAAAAGAUAAGUAAUGAAACUCAAUUAACAAAUAACAUCUAUAUCAAUUUUCCGAGCAAAAAGAACCAAUUUUACUCACGAAAGUAAAUGACACGUUCAAGUUACCUCAUCAAUCCAAGCUACUCGCUACAAAGAACUCAUUGCUCAAAUCUUCCAACAACAUUUCACCGUUAUAAAAUCCAAAAAUAUAAAAGAAGUAAAACCCAACGAUCAAAUACCAUAUCAAUUCUCCGAGCAAAAAGUUCCAAUUUUGAGCCCUACCCACCAAAUCACACCUCAUCAAAACAAGGACCCACUGAAUUUACCUCAUCAAUCGAUGCCACUCGCUACAAAGAACCCAUUCCCCAACUCUCCGAACUAAAACAGGCCAUUGUUGCGCAAAAUUGAAGCAACACAGAGGAAGCAAAGGAGAAGGGGAAGAAGAUGCAGUAGAUCCAGGAAUCCUAUGCUCAAAACAACAUCGAAUUAGAGCUAAAAAAACGGAGGAAAUAAAUCGGAUGCCCCCAUUCUCCUCGUAGCGACAUAGCACGGUACAUACCCCACACUCUCUCUCUCUCUCAUAUAUAUUUACCCCACAGUGUAGUACAUGGAUAAAAAAAAAGAGUCGCCUUUUUCACCAUCGCCUUUUUCUCGCGUUGUCGGAGGCAUAUCCCGAUAAUAAUAAUAGCUCGAGGAUAACUUACUCCGUAGAAUAAGAAUAACUUAAUUCCGCAUGUCUACGUGGCAUAUUUUUAUUGGUGGACUUCCGUGUAAUUUAUACCACGUGUCCUUGCUAGGAUUGGUUAGCUUGAAUCAAGGGAGAGGAGAAGCGGACUCUUUCACUUUGCGGUUAUUUAAACCGAAGCGGGAUUAGGUAACUAAUUCGGCGCGGUGGGUCGCCGAGGAAUUGAAAUACUCGGGAGCAAAAGAUCGGGCGCGUCCGCAUACGGUAAAUUUGUCUUAUUUGGUGGACGUUGGGUGUGGGACUGUUUCCACUGAAAUAUUUCGCUGCACCAGGUGUACAUUAUUCAUCCAAUACACCAUGACGCUCGACACUAUUCUACCGUCUUAGGUAUCUGAGAUUUCAAAUUCGAAUCUCAAUUAUUUCAUAUUUCUAAAUAAGUCUAUUUUUUUUGCAUGUCCUAAAAAAAAAAAAAGUGGAUGCUAAUAUUUUGUAAAUAACAUAAUGCAUUUUCUCUUGACAUCUGAUCUUUUAGGCUAUUCAAUUACUAGUUAAUAAAUUUCAAAAAUGUAUAAUUUUUUUAGAUGAUUAUGCUUUGAUUUUAAAAUGUUAGUAAUUAAAUAUUAAGUACAGUAUAUGAGAAAUUCCGAUAUAAUACCUUACACAUACAAUAUCAGUGAUCGUACCUCUACAAUCAAUCGAUAUGUCUCUAGCGCAAGUGGCAAAAAGCUUAGGGUCCGUUUGGAUUGACAAAUCUGUAGAUCCAACAUAAGUCAAGUGCAGUGAUAUUUGAGUUUCCCUGAAGUGUGAUUAUUUUUUGGUUGUUUGUUUUGACGUAACUCGUAUAGCUUGAAAGUUAAAUUCAAUUACUUCUUCUGUUUGUUUUGAUGUAAGUUGGUACUGGUGAAAUUAGUUUCGUGAGUUCCGUUGUUUGUUUUAAUGUAAGUAAGUGGAUAAUUAUCUCCUAAAUAUAAUAGUAAAUUUACUGUUAUAAAAUUUAACUUAUUAUAACUUAUUAUAUAAUUAAUUUUUUUAUUAUUAUUUAAAGAUAAUCCUAAUUUAUUAUAAAUAAGGUAAUUCUAAUCUAUUAUAAGGGAAGUAGAGUUUAGGUUUGACUAUUUAAUAAAUAUUUUAGAGGAGGUUGAGUAUGGUGGAAGUCGAGUUCGGCACUUUAGAGGAGGAAGUCGAGAGUAGGUGAAGUGAAGAUCUAACGUAACUUGAAUUACAUUAUAUUUUUCAUUUAUACCAAAACAAAUAACAGAAGUGAAGGAACUUAAGUUCCAUCACUCCACUUAAACCAAAACAAACAUGCUCUUAGUGGUUGAUACUCAGGUAUCAAAUUUUAAUUUUAAUUGAUUCAUAUUUUCAGCUAAGUAUCCAGCAAUCCCAAUACACAUUAGAAUAGUUUUACAUGUCGACGAGGGGAAGAACCAAAAGAAUAUACGUACAAAAAUAGCUGUGGAUGGGCUAGCUCUAGUUACAUUUUAUAGUUGAUCCUGUAGAUUUUGAACAUAUAAUAAUACUUUGUCUUACAAUACAAUAAUGAAACUGCAGGUCGUAAUUGCUGAUGCCGCAAUCAAUGCGUUCAGAAGAAAUUACGAUCUGUAACAGCAGGUCUGCAGUUACCAGAUUCGGCCAUUCACCCUGCAAGAACUACCAUUUCUGACAACCAAUAACAUGCUGAUCAAAAUUCACAUAGUAUAUAUACAGCAUAUUAGGUAGGAUUAAUUAAUUCAAAGCUUUAUGCACCAAAAUCUUGGGUUUAGCUACAUUUUGUACAUGCAUGUUAAAUUUAUCAGUCUUAUGUUGUUUCUACUUUUCUAGUAUAUUUUAUUACAGGUCAUUUGGUUGUAUGUAGUUGUAACUGUAUUGUAGUUAUAACUAUAUGCAAAUAUAAAUUCGGUGUUUGAUUUUAUAUAUUUAAUUCCAACUACAGCAGUUGGAAAGAGCAACUUUAGGUAAAAGAUAAGCUUACGUACAUCAUUAAUUAUUUUAAAAUAAAAAUAUAUAUACUUUUUUAUAUUAGAGGUAAUCUCAUCAUCCUAUAUAUAAANNNNNNNNNNNNNUAAUCUCAAUAUAUAUAUAUAUAUAUAUAUAUAUAUAUAUAUAUAUAUAUAUUUAUUUAUUUAUUUAUAUAUAUAUAUAAUAGUAAAAAUUUAACUCAACUGAAUGAAAUAAAUUAUUUGUGGUAGCACCGCUUUUUACUAUAUCUAACCAAACAGGAUACAUAUAGUUGCAAUUGUUGUAUUUUCAACUGCAUUCAUCUUCAAAUAUACUAUAUUUGUAAUUAUAUCUAACCAAACGAAGAAUUACAGUAGAAACCAGAGGCUCGAACUUUUCUUUAACUUUUUUUUUUGGAAGGCACUGGCAUUGAUUUCAACCGUUAAUCUCUUAGUUAGUCAUUGCGAGUAAUAUUAUUAUGUUAGUAAUUACUUUUAAAGCUGCUUUUAAUAUUAUCAAAGUAGAUAUAUUUUUUCUACCCACCAAUUGAGCUUUUGCAAUAUUAGAAAUAGCUUUGGCAAUAUUAAUUUUCUUUUUUUAGUAGAGAUAUAUUAUGAAGAGCACUGUGUUGAUGUGUUUCAAUACAAUUAACAAGGCCUUUUGAUGAUUUUAUACAUGUUGUCCAAGGCAACAUAUGAGUUUGCAAAUCCAUACUUCUUUAAAAGGGAGUUUUUCUUUUUUUUUUUUUUUUUCUUUCCAAAAAUACUCCUCAAUUGAAAUAUAAUGAUAAAAAAGAUGAAAUGAUAUUAUGAUCUUAAUAUCUGUACGAUCUGAGUUUUAUAUAUGUAUAUGUGACAAUCAUUUGAUAUUUUUAAUUUUUUUAAUGAUAUUAUAUAGACAAAUUUUAAACCAUUAGAUUUUCAUCUAAUGGAUGAGAGUCACAAUAUCUAUCAUUUUUAUGAUAGAAUUAUCCCUUCUAUAAGGUUUCUAACUCCAUAAAAGGCAAGUUUUUCUAAAUGCACAUCAAACUCCACUUUCUCACGUCAAAAUUCUCUCUUCCCCACAAAGAUUAUGCAAUUUUUUUCUUUUCUAUUCCGAAAAAAAUACUUUUCCUUUUAGGAAUCUUUUUUCCCUAUGUACUUCUCUGUAUCCUUCUCUUAUCAUAAAUUUUUUUUAUCAAACUUCUUCAUUGUUCUCUCUAUCUGCAUAUUGCGUCAGUGUCGAGUGUAAGCAUGAAUACCAGUGUAUUGUAAGUGAUUUCUCGCGCCUUCGUCGGAUAAUGCGCUCUACGCAUAGUCAUUAAUAAUAGUCGUUGACGCAUGCAUUAUCCACAAUUCCGACUUAGAUACACAAGUCUUCGCCAAUUAAUUUACUUGAUUUUUUUUUUUAAAUAUACUAACCAAAAGAGAACCUAUUCACUAUUCUCUUUUUUUUUUUUAAUCUUGCUUUCUAUUUUUUAUUUAUAUUAGUUGAUGUUUUAUUAUUUUUUUAAAUUUUUUGACACUAAAAGAACAAUUCAAAUCUCAAACUACAAAAUCCAAAUUCAUUUUUUUAAAAAAAUAAAUUAAAAAUAUCAAAACCUAUUCAUGAUGAUAAAAAAAAAACCUAACAAUAUGAAAUUGAACAAAUUAUCUUGUUUUUUGAAAAAUUUAAAAAAUUAGAUAAUUUUUAAAAUUAAAUAAAUUAUUUUUAAAAUUUUUUUAUUUUUUUAUUGCACGUAUCCCAAGCAUUGCCCUAAUACGACCAAAUUUAGGCCCAUGUUGCCUAAAUGGAUCGGACUAUCCAACACAGCCCAUUAUGAAAGCCCGGUCCAUUCCACUCAUUGUGCCACGUGUCGUUUAAUCAGCCCCCUAACACAGCUAUCUCCUGUUCGGAGUCCAUCACCUCUGCUGUCUCAAACACGGGAGAGUCCCAUCGCGAAAUGAAGCGAAGAAGCGUCUAGAAGCGCCAUCUCAUCCGUCCAUUUACCAUCGGACGAGCGGGACUCCACCUAAGCAUCAGCGAAGACCCGGGCCUUCUAGAGCGUUCCUCUCCACCGCCUAUGUCCCUCUCUACUCCUCACGCCCCACCUCCCCACCCUUAUUAAUCUUGUCCUAUAUUCUCCGACGAGCCCCAAAGCCCGGCCUACUCCGAUCCCGUUGAUUAGGGUUAGGGUUUUUCCGAUCCCUUUUGAUCGCCUCCCCGAAUAGCGAUUACGGUUUCGAUCCCGUCGUCGUCGUCGUCGUCGUCUUCUUCGUUGGAUCCAGGGGAGUCGAUUUAGGGUUUGGCCGCGAAGAUGUUCGGGAGGGCGCCGAAGAAGAGCGACAACACGAGGUACUAUGAGAUCCUCGGCGUGUCGAAGAACGCGUCGCAGGAGGAUCUGAAGAAGGCCUACCGCAAAGCCGCGAUCAAGAACCAUCCCGACAAGGGUGGAGACCCCGAGAAGGUAAAAAGCCGCCCCCUUUGUUUUCAUCCUCUGUGACCUCUCUCUGAUUUAUAAUGGCUGCGUGGUUAUGAAUUCGUAGAUCUGUGAAUUAUGUUGCUGAUUUUGUAAUUUGGUUUGAUUUGCUCUCAUUAUUUUUAUUACUUUUUGAUGGAUCGGGUAUUGUAUCUGAGUCAUUCUUUUCGAUCUUCCUUCAUUUUUGUUUGUGCUUGCUGUAACUGCUGAUAUAUGAGAGAUCAAAUGGGUUUUCUGAAACGAAAUAUCAUUUCAAUACCGAGUUUUAGAGAUUUAGUAUCUCCGAUCUCCUUAUAAGUUGCCUGGAACCACUUCAUUUUGCCCUUACGUUUCUCGAAAUAUUUGGGAUUGUGACCUACGUAACCUGAUGCGAUGUGGAUUUUGUUCAUCUGUUCUAAUUUGCUUACGCAUGUAUUGGAUCUUGGCUAGCGAAGAUGGGGCUUUUAUUUGGUAUGAGUUGAAUCUUAUCUGUAUGUUACGUUUUGUUUGCAGUAACAAAUAGUUUAAGAGUUGUUUCCUGUUUUUGGCAUUUAUGUUAGUUUGUUAAAGCUACUAGGCCGUCGCUGUAGUGCUGUACCAAUCUACGUUUCUUGUUAAGCUUGAGUUCUAUAUCUGUAAAAUGGAUCGCUGACGCGUUGUGUCGUCGGUUUCAGUUCAAGGAAUUGGCCCAGGCAUACGAAGUGUUGAGUGAUCCUGAGAAGCGUGAGAUCUACGAUCAGUACGGCGAGGAUGCCCUCAAGGAAGGAAUGGGCGGAGGAGGAAUGCACGACCCGUUUGAUAUCUUCCAAUCCUUCUUCGGCGGGAGCCCCUUCGGAGGUAUGCAUCACGUCCCGCAGCAAGCAUUUCUAUAUCUCUUUUGUGCCUUAGCAAUACUGUGCAUUGAUGUGUGAAUGAACAGGUGGUGGCAGCAGCAGGGGCCGUAGGCAGAGGAGGGGAGAAGAUGUGGUUCAUCCCCUAAAAGUUUCUCUAGAGGACCUUUACAAUGGGACCUCUAAGAAGCUCUCUCUUUCUAGAAAUGUUAUUUGCUCCAAGUGCAAGGGGUGAGUAGUAACCUUCUAGAUUUACUUAAACUCCUUGUCUAUUCCUGCAUCACUGCUGAUAACAUAGGUACUGGUGAAAUUUGCAGUAAAGGUUCGAAAUCUGGUGCAUCGAUGAAAUGCGCGGGAUGUCAGGGGUCAGGCAUGAAGGUUACUAUUCGUCAGCUGGGCCCUGGUAUGAUUCAACAGAUGCAGCACCCUUGCAAUGAGUGCAAAGGGACUGGCGAGACCAUCAGCGAGAAAGAUCGGUGCCCACAGUGCAAGGGCGAGAAGGUUGUUCAGGAGAAGAAGGUUUUGGAGGUUGUUGUCGAGAAGGGUAUGCAGAAUGGACAGAAGAUCACUUUCCCUGGGGAGGCAGAUGAGGCGGUAUGUUGUACUAUCAUUUUUCUGAAAUAGAGGUGCUAGAGUUGCUUGUGUUUUUUGUAAUCGCUGAAGACAUUGUUACCUAUUUAGGAAAAAUUUUAGCUUGAUGUUUGAGAUUCCGUGCUCUGUUUUGAUGAAGAGAAUGGGGAGAAGAGAAAAGAACUUGCAAGAGUAAAUUAUUUUGGGUUGUUUGCAUCCAAUUGAAGUUUUGGUUUGAACUUAUGACGAUAGAAUGGAUUAGGAGAAAGUGGUAGUUUGGGAGAAUUUAAAUUCCUGGAGACUUGAAAGCUCAUUUUUCUUUCUUGAAUAGCAGAGAAAAGGAGGCAGAGGAAAAGUAGACAAUCAAAACCAUAAUUCUCUAUUCUCUUUAGUCUCUUUACAUGAGUCCAUCCAAACAAACAACUUUCCAUCGCUCCAAGUUUGGGGCAUUGGCUCUCUGCAAUCUUUUGUUGACUUACUCUGUUGUUGUCAUGCAGCCUGACACGGUCACUGGUGACAUCGUAUUCGUCCUCCAACAGAAAGAACACCCGAAGUUCAAGAGAAAGGGCGACGAUCUCUUUCUUGAACACACCCUCUCACUCACAGAGGCCCUAUGCGGAUUCCAGUUUGUUUUGACUCAUCUAGAUAACAGGCAGCUGCUCAUCAAAUCAAACCCUGGUGAAGUAGUCAAGCCAGGUGUGCACUCUAAAACGCUCUCCCAGCUGAUCUUUAAGUCAAUACCCUUUGCUAAUUCUAAUAUGAUUUCUUAACGCAGACCAAUUUAAGGCAAUAAACGAUGAGGGCAUGCCGGUGUACCAGAGGCCGUUCAUGCGGGGAAAGCUCUAUAUCCACUUCACUGUGGAGUUCCCCGACUCGUUGACCCUAGAGCAGGUCAAAGCACUCGAGGCCGUGCUCCCGCCAAAGCCCGUGUCGGAGCUUACCGACAUGGAGCUUGACGAGUGCGAGGAAACCACGCUGCACGAUGUCAACAUUGAAGAGGAGAUGAGGAGGAAGCAGGCGCAGGCUCAGGAGGCCUACGAGGAGGACGAGGAGGCCCACGGUGGCGCCCAGAGAGUGCAAUGCGCGCAGCAGUAAACGGAGCGUUACCUGCCUUACAGGUAUUGGCUGGGGUCUAUAACUAUGAUUUUUGGGUCAUAAGACUCGCGUAAUUGCGUUUUAUGUCAUAAAAUCUUGUGGCUGUGGACAGUAUAUUACCAGCUGAAGUAGGGAGGGUGCUUCAGACUCACCCUCAGACUUACUUUUCCCUCUGUUGCUUUGCCGCCAAAUAUCUGAUUAGGAACUUCUAUUACCUUAGUUUUUUCUGUCUGUAAUGCUGUCGACGGUGGUGAGUGCGCGUAUGUUUUUGGGAUUGGUUUUCUACGCUCAAUUUCUCAUUUCCUUGCUUGGUAAAGUUGCGCACAAGCCUUUUCUCUCGAGGAUCCAACAGGCGCCACGGCACGUGUGAAGCACCUAAGAAGAAAAUUUUUGAUUUUGAAUGAAGAGCGGGGAUUGUUGUAUGGGAUGUUGUGGAAUCGGAGUCUCUCUCUCUCUUUUUAACAGUAUGCCACCUGAGAGUGUUAUUUCUUACCUGUUGCAAUUCAAUAGUAAUAGGCAGCGACUUGUUAGAUUUUCUUCAAGAGCGAGCUGGAGGGGGUUGAAGAUUGACGAUGGCACGGUGGUUGGAUGUUUUGGGGGUUUGCAUUUGCGUUGUGCGAAUGAUGAAGGAAUUUGAUUCUUUUGUCCGAACCCGGGCUGUUGUGCACAAUUUUUAUGGCUGUUGUGCAUUGAUACUUGGUCACAGGUGAACGGAAAUUAGUAAGAAUGACACGGCAAGUAAGCAGGUCCUUGUUUUCAGGCCAGUGUUUCAGAUUCUUAGACCUGUUUGGCGUUGGUUCCACUUUCGUAUUUAGUCUAUUGUUUGCACCCUUUCCCUUGUUUGAGGACUCACUAACAAAUGAAAAGUUGUAGGGGGGCCUUCUCCUCCGAGUAGGGAGGUAUGAAAAUUUUAUUAUUGGAUUCAAUCCUGCUUUGUUUCGAUUGGGAGAUUUGCUGACUUUGUCCUGCGCAAACAAAAACUUUUUGAAGAGAGUUAAUUCUCAGAUAGUCGAGGGACUCGCAUUUUGCUUGGUCUACAUUUGUUAAUCCUUCUGCGUGUGGCACUCAUAAUUGUGACGUUCUUGAUGGUAAUAAUAAUAUCAUUAUUCAAAAACGUGGAGCAUGUGGAGAUUCCCUUCUUAUUUUUUUCUUCCUCUUUUCCUCUCACUGACUGCUGGACUUGAAGUUUAAGGUGUCAUCAUCGAAUACAGCAUGCUGGGACACGCGGGAAUCAAUUAUUUAGGAAUUAAUUUCUAACACCAGCCAUUAUUUUCGAAUCUAGAUUUUACCGUUUAUUCAUUCACCACUGUUUAGUACAGUUGGUUGGUAUCUGAAUUACCAAUUAAGAGUUUAGUGCUGCAAUCUUCAAUAGAUCUUAUACAAUCACAAAAAAAAAAAAAAAAAAAAAAAAAAAAAAAAAAAAAAAAAAAAAUCAAAUAGAACCUAACUACUCUUCGAUGCAAAGUAGUUUCACUAUUUUUUCAUUUUUUAUAGGCUCAGAAGACUAUCCUCAUACCGUGCACCCAUGUAUAAAAUAUACUAGCAUAACACCCAUGUAUAAAAUAUACUAGCAUAACAAUGACCUGUGGCCACGAGAAACACGCACGGCCUUUCACAACCAUGCACCAGAAUCAUCUAAAAUCAUAACUACCUUGGAUUAUGCCCUAUGCUUGUGGCUAAGCUUGUACCACUAUCAAAGCACAAGGGCUCGCUUACAUGCAUAUUUAUGCAAAUAUAUAUAUGUCCAAUCUAGUAUAAUUGUAAUUCGACUCUAAUUUAAAUCCAAAAUUCAUUCAACUUAUCUCAUAUAGAUUUAAAUAUCCAUCCUAAUAUAACUAUAACUUUAAUAAAAUCCUACCAGUUUUAAUCAUUUCCUAUCGGCGUGAUCUUCCGGACAAAAACACCAUCUGAUGAUUGAGACCUGAUUUGAAUAAUUGUAAACUCCAAAACUGUGUGAUUAUUGAGACCUGAUUUGAAUCAUUCUAACACGCAUCCCGACUCGCCUUUAGAUUCGGGCCAGUUGUAGACUUAAAAGUAGCAGUUUGGCACAAUCCAAUUUUGGUGCAACUUGUUUUUUUUUUUUUUUUUUUUUUUUUUUUUCCACAUUGAUAAUAAAUAGUAUCUAAAAUCUAAAAUCUAAAAUAUUUAGUUGAAAGGUGCCAAAUUAGUAAGAUGGGAAACAGGAAGGAUCCUCCAUUUUGCCAGCACAGUAUAUAAGAAAUUAUAGCAAAAUUGUUAACUUCAGUUGUUGAUCACUCUGUCUUUUAAAAAUGGAUGCAAAAAUGAUACUCUUCUCCUUUUCUUUUCCAUAUGAAUUAUUUGUUGCUCCAUUGUAAAGUUCAAUUGAUUAAGUGCCACUUAAAUAGUUUUAUUUGAAAAAAAAAGCUACUAUUUAAUUUUCAACAGCAUUAAAGUUUCAUAUUAGAGCUUCUGUCUUCUGGAACUUAAAAUCUUCUAAUAAUAGAAAUUUAUCUCAGCUUUCAACUGCGAUAAAACUUCUGACUUUCUAUUUGUCAGAUGAUUGAUUGUAGCUUACUAAGAUUUUUUUUUUCCUUUUUUUGAAUCACUAGUAAUACAAUUAUCUAAUUUUUAAUUUGUUUCUAGUUACCUGUUAUUGUUGCAUCAAUUAAAAAGUAGGUUGAAUAGGUCAUAUUACUUUUUUUUUUUUGGCUGAUAAUGACUGGUAAUCUAGUAACUAAUGUGUUGCUUAUUUAAGUAAAUUAAAGUCCUUAUCUUCAAAUAUAAACUAGAGCUCUGUGACUGUGAGCCUGAUUAAACAAGUCCCUUUCUUUUUUGGAAAUCUAAUCUAAAUUCUUCUUAAUUUUUUCUUAUUCAUAAUUAGAGAAGAUCUCAAUACUUAGGUGAAAAAUAUGAUUAAAAACUUUUUUUGUAGCCAAAUCGUAUAACUAAUCAGCACCUUAUAGAUUCUGUGCUUUUCCUUUUCUUCCAAGGAAAGCAAGAAUCUUCAUUCUUGUAAUUAAUUGAUAGCAAAAGAUUCUUUUUACUAUCAAAUUUUUAACCCUUUGAUGAGAAAUUGUAGGGUUAGGAUGAUAUUAGUUUCUUAGGGUUGAGUGGUCCCUUUAGGAUUGAGUCAUCCCCACUCGGUUAUAAUAUUAAUCUAAUUGUUAGAAAUGAUGAAUAAAAUUGAUCCAAAAGCUAAAAACUUAAUAGCAAAAAAGACCUUUUGCUAUCAAUAGUAUUCUAGCCCAACUCUCUCUCUCUCUCUCUCUCUCUCUCUCUCUCUCUCUAUAUAUAUAUAUAUAUAUGUAUGACUUAGACUUCAAUACUAUAGUCUUAUUUUCAAUUUUAGAAUGUUCAAAUUAACGAUUUACAAUGUUAAAAUUAAUCUAAGUAUUUAAAGUUUUAAAAAUAAAAUUUUAUAUUUUUUUCGACAUAAUUCAUUUUUUCCGACUCAUUUUGAGACUGGGAAGCAUAGGCACCACUCUCAAGAGUCACUUUUAUUUUAUAAUCAAAUAAUUUCAAAUUUUUUAAUUUUUAAUGGCUAUUGUGACGAGUUUAUAGUUUAACAGUAUAGAAAAAUUUAAAUUUAUUCAAAUUUUGAUAAAAAAAUUAUUUUAAACUAUCUAGAUUAAGGUCAUCAUCCUUAAUCUUGAAUUAAAAAGUCUCAUCCUCAAAUUUUCAAGAUUGUUCAAUUUCUACCAUUCAUUUUUACAUGAUUUACUUACUAAGUAAAUAAUAUAAAAAAAUUAAAAAUUUAUUCCUAUAAUCAUAUAUCGUAGAUCAUAUUUAACGGUAUGGAUCAUUAAUUUAAACAUCCUAAGAUAAAAAAGGAGGUUAUAGUACUGGAGCUCCAGUACUUAACCCUAGGGGACUCUUAUCCUCUUAACCGGAAACCAAUCAUUUUAAUCGCGCAUUUCUUCAUCCAACGGCCGAAAACUUAUAAGUACAAAGAUAUUUAUACUCAUAAAAAUAUAGUAGCUCUACUCUCUCUCUCUCUCUAUAUAUAUAUAUACAUACAACAUAUAUUUACCAUUUUUUUUUUUUGUGAGAAAUAUUUACCAUAUAAAUAAUUCACAUUUUUUGAGUAGAAAAAAAGUUUUGAGAAUCCUAGGUGUUCAAGUAAAGUGUUUUAUAGUUGGGCAAGCUAAGAAUCCUGCAAGAUUGAAGAUGCCUUUCAAAAGGUGUUGGAUGUUUGCUUUACUCAACUCUAAUAACAAAAAAAAAAAAAAAAAGAAACAAAAAAAAAAAGAAGAAUAUAAAUUAAAGUGUGAUGACACCUCCAAGUGCUAUAACUGAUUUAGAAAUAGGCCCAUGAACUUUAUUUUGUAGCAUUUUGUUACAGUUUUAAUAAAAUUUCAGAUCUGAUUUGCUUUGAUUUCAGAAAUAUUCAUUCCAACUUAAACUUUUUCAAUAGCAUUUGCAUUUUUUACCAACUAUUUUCGAAGUCAAUUAAGUAGGAAUUUUUAUUUUCGAGUUAAUUACUUAUUUUAGUAAAUUUAUAAUUACGAGAAUUACAUGAAAUAUACUAACUAAAUUUAUAAAGAUAAACAUGGCAUUCAAAAUUUAGAAUUAAAGUGUUUAGCCGACUCAAAUGGAACAAAUUGAAAGAUUGGCUAGUAAUUAAAGUCAAAAUUAUGAAAGAUUGAAUAAUAACUCAAAAUGAUCUAUACUUUAGAUAAGUUCUAUAUAUUGUUACCGUAUAUUAAUAUGCUAGCCGAGAGCGAAGGUUCAUGUAUUUUAUUUUUUAAACACACAUGCGAGAAUUUUAAUGUCUGGCCUUAUAAAUAGUUACUGUACCAUUCUAAAAAUUAUUUAUUAUUGGUGUAGUACGCGGCGAAAGUAUUCGUUCUUAAUUUUUAUGGAAGCGAUUCGCAUCAGAACACGAUGAUUUCGAAUCGUAGAGGUUGAUUUACGUGUCCUCGAAUCGCUCACGAAGGUUUUCUAACGCUCCAAAUCUACGGUAAAUCAAAUUACGAACGAGCACAAUCUCUAAUACCAUUAAAAAUCCUAUGAAAUAAUAGGUUAAAAGAAAAUGUGAUUUCUCACUCUUAACAAGAUGACUCAAAAAUUACUCACGAAUUUAUGAGUAAUUUUUUUUUUCUAUUUCUUUUGUUAUUAUUUUUAUGAGAGAAUAAUCCGUAUAUUUAUAAAGGGAUCCCAAACCCUAAUAUAUAAGUAAGAGAUUGGGACAAAUCCGUUUAUAAUUGUUCCACUAAUAUGGUUAGAACAUAUUUAUAAUUAGCUUUUUAAUCUAAAAGUGAAAUUAAUUUUAAUCCAAUUAGAUAAUAUAAUAACUGUCGGGUCGAGUCUAAUUAUAAGCGCGUCGAAUUCGAUUUAACUGAAUGCUAACAAUUGGAGUAAUCAUAUAUUUUAGCCAUAUAUGUAAAAAGAUUCAACUGCAUCUCCUCUUUAGAACGUGAAGUGCACGUCAAAGAAGCUGCGGAACAAAGAGAGCUUCACCAUUAAAAGACAAAAGAAACUGCGAAAGCAACACAUAUCUACAACACCCUCUCCCAAAAAACCCAAAAAAAAAAGAAUAAAAAACGAAAAUAAAAAACAAAAACUUCAAAUGCAUGAAUAGAAAUCCAUCUCCAUAACCAUGAUAUUGAAAAAUCACAUACUUCGCAGGUAAAAGCAAAAGGGUAAAUUAAUGGAUAUAUAUUAUCAUGAUUUACGACUUAGUUUGGGUACUUUAUUCUUAUAUUAGUUUUUUUUUUUUUUUUUUUCAAAUAUGAUUAGAAGUUAUUUUACAAUGGAGUUUUCUUUUUACAUAAAAACUCUCAGCAACUGAAGCCUUUAUUAUUUUAAGGGGACUAAGAUGUCAUUUGGAGAUAGUAGAGGGGCCUCUGUAAAUUUUACCCAAAAUAAAAAAUAAAAUGCAUAGAUCCAUAGAGACCAUGCAUAAGGAAAGAAAAUGGGAGAGAGCAUUGACCUCGAAAAACCUUCCCCAACUAGAACUUAGAAAUUUGCUUUAUAGAUUGACUAUAUCUACCACAGCUGUUUAAGUACUCGAUUAUUGGUAUUAAUAUUUUAAAUUCGAAAUCUAGUUAUUUCGUAUUUCUAUUUGAGUUUAUUUAAAAAAAAUAAAUACAACAACUAAUUUAGAGAUGAAUUGGUAGUAUAGUAAUAAUUCAAUAAUAAAAAGUGAAUUAUAAUCACUAUAUAUAUAAUAUUAAUAAUAUUUUAGUUAAACUCUCUCUCUCUCUUUAUAUAAUUUAGUGAAAACUUUAAAUAUCUCUCCUGUGGUUUCGCACUUUUACACUUUAGUACCUUGUGAUUUAAAAUAUAUCAAAUAAGUACCAUAUGGUUUCACACUUUCUCAUUUUAGUACCCUGCGAUUUCAAGUGUAUCAAUUUAGUACCAUGUGGUUUCAAUUUUGUACCAAUUUAGUACCAUGUGGUUUCAGUUUUCUCUUUUAUUAUCCAUUUCGGAGUAUAUAACUUAACGAAAUAUUAAACCACAAGGUACUAAAGUGAGAAAGUGCGAAACCACAGGGUACUAACUUGAUACACUUUAAACCACAAGGUACUAAAAUGAAAGUGCGAAACUACAGAAUACUAACUUGAUACACUUUAAAUCACAGGGUACUAAAAUGAAAGUGCGAAACUACAGAAUACUAACUUGAUACACUUUAAAUCAUAUGGUACUAAAAUGAAAAAGUGCGAAACCAUAUGGAGUAUUUGAAGUUUUUCUAUAUAUAUAUAUAUAUAUAUAUAUAUAUAUAUAUAUAUGAGUAGGGCUAGAAUACUUGUAAAAGUAUCAUGAGGGUGAUACUUGUGUGUUUUUAGCCCUUGGAUGGAGAGAUGUGAGGUUGAGAUGAUGGUGGUAGGUGGUGGUAGGUGGAAUAGUGUUUAAUCCAAGGACUAUUAAUAAUUAAAAAGUAGAUCCAAUGGCUUAAAACUUAAUAGCACCAUGAUAGUGAUACUUGUAAAAGUAUCAUAGCUCAACUCUAUAUAUAUUAUGUAUAUAUGUAUAUCCAAUGACUUUUUUUUUAAAAUUUU